GGGAUAUGGAUGUCUAUGGGAACAUGUUUAAGAAGGAGCAUGGUCUUUUUGCUAAGGUCGAGGGGGGUGGUUAUAAAGAGUAUUAAAAUUGUAUUCUUCAAAGAACCCAAUAGGUAUCAAGAGCGAUUUGCUGGCAGAACUAAAUGCCAUUUGUAUUCAAGAGGAAAUUGUUUUGUUUUAGAAGUCAAGGGUAGAUUGGAUUAAUUUGGUGAUCAGAAUAGUUCUUUCUUUCUCAUGAAAACGAUAAUCUGAAUGAAAAGAAAUAAGAUUGAGAUGCUGAAGUCGAAUAUUGGGGAGUAGAUUAAUGAUUUAGAUGUGCUUCUGGAAAUGGCAAUGAAAAUUUUAAGUUCUUUUUACUGAAGAGUUUUCUAAUGGUCCUAUCUUCCUUAUUAGGGGUAAGUUUCCAAUGAUCCCUUCUGAAUAGAUGGUUUAUAUUACCAACAAUAUUCUCAAGAGAAGUUAAGACUACUUUGUUUGUGAUGAAGUCCUAGAAGGCACUGGGACAUGACAUUUUACUUGUGGGAUUUUAC
RNAcentral lists this unclassified non-coding RNA (530 nucleotides) under Hevea brasiliensis (rubber tree). Lineage: Eukaryota; Viridiplantae; Streptophyta; Magnoliopsida; Malpighiales; Euphorbiaceae. The record is from RNAcentral.